GGGAGAGUGGCGGGUUUUUUCUUUGCCACACCUUGGAAGUCCAUACAUUUUGUUUUCGUGAGAAGUGUGUUAGUUAUUGUUGUAAACUGGUUAUUUGUUAUUGAGAUUUGAUUUGCAAGUCGAUGAAUUUGGGUUUGCAGGUUCCGUAAUUGGACGUUUUUUUUAGGUCAAUCAUUGUUUAUUCGGUGUUGACAACUUUGUAACACAAAAUCAAUUGUAAGCAUUAUGAAAAAAGAGGAAUUUGGAAUGUGUAACUCUCAUAGCUUUUCUCCAGCCAAUCUAUACGAUAGGAAGGAUCUCCUCAUUUGUUUAUAGUAAUAACACUUCUUGCAUUGAUCUUUGAUGGGUUUCAUGUCAGAGAACUUGUGCAGUUUCAGAGUCCAUUGUUUAUCUUCCAAGACUGGGGAAAUGAUGUAGCGGACAAAUACGUUAAACGGUCGAUCAAGAGAUCUAAAGAUCAGAGACCUGUUCUUAGAUUAAUCACACAAAGAAUAACCAAAAAAUUCUAUUAUUAAUUAUCAAAGUCUGAAUACAAGGCUUCAAUGCAUAUUUAUAAUAAAUCUUUAAAUCUAGAAAACUCUAAUUUUAAUUAAAAUAGAAAAACCAAUAAAAUAUGAAAAUCUAUAAUAUAAUGAGGGAGUUUCUCUCCUCCUGAGGUGACACGUCAGCACUUUUUAAAGGGACCAAAUUUAUUUUCGUAUAACACUUACGUCGUCCUGGCUAUAACAACUAAAGUCUACUUGGCCCAGUGGUAUAACCUGCUCAUAGUAAAGCUUGAGUGUACGGGUUCGAAUCCCCCUGGCUUCCUUUUUAAUUUUUUUUCUAUUACACCUUCAAGGCUCCUUAAGGUGUCCACGUGUGCACUUUGUGGGUCCCACCUUUAGUUUUCUUUUUAUUUUUUCUUCUUUUUGUCGGGUGAGCUGCGAUCUGUAACCAUAAUGAGCUUCGAAUUUUUUUUUAGGGAUUCAUUGUUACCGUGCUUUGUCUCUUCCACUUCUCCUUCUCCGUUAAUCUUUGACUCCAGGGACAGUGGAUGCUUCUCCAACUUUUAGCCUCCCCUAUCAUUCAACGGGUUUCUCUUAAUUUUUCGCAAAAAGCAAUUAUCUCAAUGCGAAAGGCAGAGAUAAAACGUUAAGGGCAGAGCCCGACCCCUUCUUCUUCUUCGUGAAAAAGCUCCUGAAGCCCAGAAAAAGGAAGUAGUUUUAUAUUAAAUCUACUAGAUUUUUCAUCAGUUAAUUGACCCUAAAGCGAGCUUCUUUCACGUCUUCCCUUUUCAUCAUCUCAUCGUUCCAACUCCAUAUCUAUCACCCUCCCCCACUCUCUGUUCAUCUCAAAGGUCAAUUUCUUCUACCUUUAUCUCUCUUUGGGCCGUUCAGAUUUUUCAAUCCUGUUCCGGUGAUUGAAGAAAUGUUCACUAUAUGCUUCUCAGACCGGAAACGCUCUUGAUGCUGCAGAGGGUAUUAGCCGUGAAGCUGAACGCCGAGGCUGUCCUGCGUCUA
RNAcentral lists this long non-coding RNA (1499 nucleotides) under Brassica rapa (field mustard). Its description in RNAcentral is "long non-coding RNA (BRAP_LNC001136)". Lineage: Eukaryota; Viridiplantae; Streptophyta; Magnoliopsida; Brassicales; Brassicaceae. The record is from RNAcentral.